UUUUUUCAUGCAUCAAAGCUCGUUAAGACUAGAUGGUGUAUCCCUACAUAGCGGGUGGGAACCACGGCGAAUGGUUCAUCAAGUCUUCAAAAAAGAAUAUAUACGAUUGCAUUGCAUAUACUAACGGAUGCGAUCAUACCAGCACUAAUGCACCGGAUCCCAUCAGAACUCCGCAGUCAAGCGUGCUUGGGCGAGAGUAGUACUAGGAUGGGUGACCUCCCGGGAAGUCCUCGUGUUGCAUCCCUCUUUUAUGUUUAACC
Molecule: ribosomal RNA, 260 nt
Filed under: Arabidopsis thaliana (thale cress)
Lineage: Eukaryota; Viridiplantae; Streptophyta; Magnoliopsida; Brassicales; Brassicaceae
Source: RNAcentral